This 453-nucleotide ribosomal RNA is filed under the name uncultured bacterium. RNAcentral describes it as "bacterial SSU rRNA". It matches the Rfam family "Bacterial small subunit ribosomal RNA", at positions 346 to 793 of the family's 1533-position model. The record is from RNAcentral.
AGGCAGCAGUGGGGAAUAUUGCACAAUGGGCGCAAGCCUGAUGCAGCCAUGCCGCGUGUAUGAAGAAGGCCUUCGGGUUGUAAAGUACUUUCAGCAGUGAGGAAGGUGGAUAUGUUAAUAGCAUAUUCAUUUGACGUUAGCUGCAGAAGAAGCACCGGCUAACUCCGUGCCAGCAGCGCGGUAAUACGGAGGGUGCGAGCGUUAAUCGGAAUUACUGGGCGUAAAGCGCAUGCAGGUGGUUUGUUAAGUCAGAUGUGAAAGCCCGGGGCUCAACCUCGGAAUUGCAUUUGAAACUGGCAAACUAGAGUACUGUAGAGGGGGUAGAAUUUCAGGUGUAGCGGUGAAAUGCGUAGAGAUCUGAAGGAAUACCGGUGGCGAAGGCGGCCCCCUGGACAGAUACUGACACUCAGAUGCGAAAGCGUGGGGAGCAAACAGGAUUAGAUACCCUGGUAG